CGAGUUGGUUAGACAAUCGCUGGUUUAUUGAAGCCCUUAAGACCGUAAGGUAUGCCUAAAUAGGUGAUAAGUGGGACAAGUGAACGAGAGGAAAGUCCGAGCUACAUAGGGCAGAGUGCCAGAUAACGUCUGGGAGACGUGAGUCUACGACUAGUGCAACAGAGAGCAGACCGCCAGUUUAGGCUGGUAAGGGUGAAAGGGUGUGGUAAGAGCACACCGCGUGAGUGGUAACAUUUCACGGCAUGGUAAACUCCACUCGUAGCAAGACCAAAUAGGAACUCAAUGGGUGUGCCCGCUCAGAGUUCGGGUAGGUUGCUUGAACGUGCAUGCGAAUGUACGUCUAGAGGAAUGAUUGUCCACGACAGAACUCGGCUUAUCGACUAACUCAACAU
RNAcentral lists this RNase P RNA (392 nucleotides) under Pasteurella bettyae. Its description in RNAcentral is "RNase P RNA component class A". It matches the Rfam family "Bacterial RNase P class A". From Rfam's summary of the family: Ribonuclease P (RNase P) is a ubiquitous endoribonuclease, found in archaea, bacteria and eukarya as well as chloroplasts and mitochondria. Its best characterised activity is the generation of mature 5'-ends of tRNAs by cleaving the 5'-leader elements of precursor-tRNAs. Cellular RNase Ps are ribonucleoproteins. Lineage: Bacteria; Pseudomonadati; Pseudomonadota; Gammaproteobacteria; Pasteurellales; Pasteurellaceae. The record is from RNAcentral. RNAcentral also lists the same sequence under 1 other name.